GUUCAAUAUGUGGAGAAGGCAAUGGCACUCCACUCCAGUACUCUUGCCUGGAAAAUCCCAUGGACAGAGAAGCCUGGUAGGGGGGUGCCAUUGCCUUCUCCUAUUUCAAUACAGAAUGAGUGAAAUGUAGUACAAAAUUCAAACAAAUUGCAAUUAGUAGGAACUUGUCUGCUGCGUUCACGUUAAGCCUGAAAUGGCCCCAGCUUAUUGAUCAGCGUACUUUGUGUAUUCCCUGACAUUCAGGCCUGGUGUGGAUGAUGGGUGUGGCUUUGAGCCUCUGAGUCAGACCUGGGCUUGAGGCCCAGCUCUGCCAUUUAUUAGUGUGUUCCUUGGACCUUUGCUUCGUAGUGGAUAAAAGGGGAUUGAUUUUAUUUGCCUCAGAAAUAAAAAGUGCUACCGCCCACCCCAGCUGGUUCUUGCUCCAGCUCUGAUCACGUUUUCUUCCCCAGGAGGGGGCCUAAUCCUCCACGCAGCUGGGGGCUUCCACCCUCCACUUCUGAUCACAGCUUUUCCACCCACCAGUUCUUCAAAUCCAGGUUCUCUGUUAUGCUGCCUGGUUUUGGAAAGGGUGGAGUCCCCAGCUGGGAAUGAGCCCGCAGCCUGAGCGUGGGGGAAGUUGAUUCACUGAGGGGAGAAGUCAGCGAGCCCGUGACCAGGUUGCUAAGCGAGAGCAAAUGCCUGUUAAAUAUAUUUAUAUCAAAUAUUGACAGUGACAUGAGUGAUGUCAUGUUCUAGAGCAGAUGUUUCCUCUGGAUACUUCCAGUACACUCACGGGGAGGAAGUACGUGGUGUCCGAAGCAGGCCUUGGAAAACCGUCAGGCUGUAAACAGACUGUGAGGUCACUGGGCCAGGCCUCCAGCCGUGGUGUCCCCCUUUGCAAUCGUCUGGGUUAACUUCUGUUUUCUUAUCGGCUCCCAUUACUUUUUUCUGUUUGAUAAGGUUGAGGGGUGAAGGACAGGUCCCAAAGUCUGAAGGCUGUAACAUCUGAUCAAUUUCAGGAUGAUUCUAUUUGAUUUUUCCCAGAGGAAACUCAUCAUUUGCCUGCUUACUGCAUGGGCUGCUCCCCCAGUAUUUUUC
Molecule: long non-coding RNA, 1077 nt
Organism: Bos taurus (domestic cattle)
Lineage: Eukaryota; Metazoa; Chordata; Mammalia; Artiodactyla; Bovidae
Source: Ensembl